This 200-nucleotide ribosomal RNA is filed under the name uncultured bacterium. Its description in RNAcentral is "partial 16S ribosomal RNA". It matches the Rfam family "Bacterial small subunit ribosomal RNA", at positions 8 to 224 of the family's 1533-position model. The record is from RNAcentral.
AGAGUUUGAUCCUGGCUCAGGAUGAACGCUGGCGGCGUGCCUAAUACAUGCAAGUCGAGCGGCAGCGCGGUCUUCGGACUGGCGGCGAGCGGCGGACGGCUGAGUAACGCGUAGGAACCUACCCCAAACUGAGGGAUAAGCCCGGGAAACCGGGUCUAAUACCGCAUGUGCUCCUCGGAGUAAAGCUUCGGCGGUUUGGG